This 59-nucleotide transfer RNA is filed under the name Campodea lubbockii. RNAcentral describes it as "Campodea lubbocki tRNA-Leu". Lineage: Eukaryota; Metazoa; Arthropoda; Diplura; Rhabdura; Campodeidae. The record is from RNAcentral.
ACUAAUUUGGCAGAUAAAUGUAUUGAAUUUAGAAUUCAACAAUGUGAGAACAAUUAGUA